GACGAACGCUGGCGGCGUGCCUAAUACAUGCAAGUAGAACGCUGAAGGAGGAGCUUGCUUCUCCGGAUGAGUUGCGAACGGGUGAGUAACGCGUAGGUAACCUCCCUGGUAGCGGGGGAUAACUAUUGGAAACGAUAGCUAAUACCGCAUAAGAGUAGAUGUUGCAUGACAUUUGCUUAAAAGGUGCAAUUGCAUCACUACCAGAUGGACCUGCGUUGUAUUAGCUAGUUGGUGGGGUAACGGCUUACCAAGGCGACGAUACAUAGCCGACCUGAGAGGGUGAUCGGCCACACUGGGACUGAGACACGGCCCAGACUCCUACGGGAGGCAGCAGUAGGGAAUCUUCGGCAAUGGACGGAAGUCUGACCGAGCAACGCCGCGUGAGUGAAGAAGGUUUUCGGAUCGUAAAGCUCUGUUGUAAGAGAAGAACGAGUGUGAGAGUGGAAAGUUCACACUGUGACGGUAUCUUACCAGAAAGGGACGGCUAACUACGUG
Molecule: ribosomal RNA, 495 nt
Filed under: uncultured bacterium
Lineage: Bacteria
Description: partial 16S ribosomal RNA
Rfam family: Bacterial small subunit ribosomal RNA
Source: RNAcentral